This 253-nucleotide ribosomal RNA is filed under the name uncultured bacterium. RNAcentral describes it as "partial 16S ribosomal RNA". It matches the Rfam family "Bacterial small subunit ribosomal RNA", at positions 524 to 776 of the family's 1533-position model. The record is from RNAcentral.
GACAGAGGUGCCGAGCGUUAGGCGGAAUCACUGGGCUUAAAGCGUGUGUAGGCGGAUCGUUAAGUGCCUUGUGAAAUCCCACGGCUCAACCGUGGAACUGCUUGGCAUACUGGCGAUCUUGAGCCACUUAGGGGCUACCGGAAAAAAUGGUGGAGCGGUGAAGUGCGUAGAUAUCAUUUGGAACGCCAAUGGUGAAAACAGCUCGCUGGGAGUGUGCUGACGCUGAGACACGAAAGCCAGGGUAGCGAACGGG